RNAcentral lists this ribosomal RNA (253 nucleotides) under uncultured bacterium. RNAcentral describes it as "partial 16S ribosomal RNA". It matches the Rfam family "Bacterial small subunit ribosomal RNA", at positions 524 to 776 of the family's 1533-position model. The record is from RNAcentral.
UACGGGGGGGGCAAGCGUUGUUCGGAAUUACUGGGCGUAAAGGGUUUGUAGGUGGCUCGCUAAGUCAGACGUGAAAUCCCUCAGCUUAACUUGGGAACUGCGUCUGAUACUGGGAGGCUUGAGUGCGGGAGAGGGAUGUGGAAUUCCAGGUGUAGCGGUGAAAUGCGUAGAUAUCUGGAGGAACACCGGUGGCGAAGGCGGCAUCCUGGACCGACACUGACGCUGAGGCGCGAAAGCUAGGGGAGCAAACGGG